GCACUGCUGAGGAGUCCCGUAAUAGGGCGAAACGGCCAUCCAGUGC
Molecule: non-coding RNA, 46 nt
Organism: Schistosoma mansoni
Lineage: Eukaryota; Metazoa; Platyhelminthes; Trematoda; Strigeidida; Schistosomatidae
Source: Rfam